Molecule: ribosomal RNA, 440 nt
Filed under: uncultured bacterium
Lineage: Bacteria
Description: partial 16S ribosomal RNA
Rfam family: Bacterial small subunit ribosomal RNA
Source: RNAcentral
CCUACGGGUGGCAGCAGUGGGGAAUAUUGCACAAUGGGGGGAACCCUGAUGCAGCGACGCCGCGUGGGUGAGGAAGUACUUCGGUAUGUAAAGUCCUAUCAGCAGGGAAGAAAAUUACGGUCCCUGACUAAUACGCCCCGGCUAACUCCGUGCCAGCAGCCGCGGUAAUACGGAGGGUGCGAGCGUUAAUCGGACUUACUGGGCGUAACGCGCUCGUAGGUGGUAUGUCAAGUCACGGGUGAAAUCCUCGCGCUCAAGGUGGGAACUGCCUUUGAAACUGGCAAACUGGAGUGUGUGAGAGGAGAGUGGAAUUCCAGGUGUAGGAGUGAAAUCCGUAGAUAUCUGGAGGAACAACAGUGGCGAAGGCGACUAUCUGGGACAUAACUGACGCUGAGGAGCGAAAGCGUGGGUAGCAAACAGGAUUAGAUACCCUAGUAGUC